UUGAUUUUGGUCGCCAACGAGUGGCGGACGGGUGAGUAACACGUAGGUAACCUGCCCAGAAGCGGGGGACAACAUUUGGAAACAGAUGCUAAUACCGCAUAACAACGUUGUUCGCAUGAACAACGCUUAAAAGAUGGCUUCUCGCUAUCACUUCUGGAUGGACCUGCGGUGCAUUAGCUUGUUGGUGGGGUAAUGGCCUACCAAGGCGAUGAUGCAUAGCCGAGUUGAGAGACUGAUCGGCCACAAUGGGACUGAGACACGGCCCAUACUCCUACGGGAGGCAGCAGUAGGGAAUCUUCCACAAUGGGCGCAAGCCUGAUGGAGCAACACCGCGUGAGUGAAGAAGGGUUUCGGCUCGUAAAGCUCUGUUGUUAAAGAAGAACACGUAUGAGAGUAACUGUUCAUACGUUGACGGUAUUUAACCAGAAAGUCACGGCUAACUACGUGCCAGCAGCCGCGGUAAUACGUAGGUGGCAAGCGUUAUCCGGAUUUAUUGGGCGUAAAGAGAGUGCAGGCGGUUUUCUAAGUCUGAUGUGAAAGCCUUCGGCUUAACCGGAGAAGUGCAUCGGAAACUGGAUAACUUGAGUGCAGAAGAGGGUAGUGGAACUCCAUGUGUAGCGGUGGAAUGCGUAGAUAUAUGGAAGAACACCAGUGGCGAAGGCGGCUACCUGGUCUGCAACUGACGCUGAGACUCGAAAGCAUGGGUAGCGAACAGGAUUAGAUACCCUGGUAGUCCAUGCCGUAAACGAUGAGUGCUAGGUGUUGGAGGGUUUCCGCCCUUCAGUGCCGGAGCUAACGCAUUAAGCACUCCGCCUGGGGAGUACGACCGCAAGGUUGAAACUCAAAGGAAUUGACGGGGGCCCGCACAAGCGGUGGAGCAUGUGGUUUAAUUCGAAGCUACGCGAAGAACCUUACCAGGUCUUGACAUCUUGCGCCAACCCUAGAGAUAGGGCGUUUCCUUCGGGAACGCAAUGACAGGUGGUGCAUGGUCGUCGUCAGCUCGUGUCGUGAGAUGUUGGGUUAAGUCCCGCAACGAGCGCAACCCUUGUUACUAGUUGCCAGCAUUAAGUUGGGCACUCUAGUGA
This 1085-nucleotide ribosomal RNA is filed under the name Limosilactobacillus fermentum. RNAcentral's name for it is "bacterial SSU rRNA". It matches the Rfam family "Bacterial small subunit ribosomal RNA", at positions 74 to 1146 of the family's 1533-position model. The record is from RNAcentral. Lineage: Bacteria; Bacillati; Bacillota; Bacilli; Lactobacillales; Lactobacillaceae.